This 474-nucleotide ribosomal RNA is filed under the name uncultured bacterium. RNAcentral's name for it is "bacterial SSU rRNA". It matches the Rfam family "Bacterial small subunit ribosomal RNA", at positions 34 to 507 of the family's 1533-position model. The record is from RNAcentral.
CGCUGGCGGCGUGCUUAAUACAUGCAAGUCAACUUGACUUUAGAUAGCAAUAUCGAAAAGUAGGGUGGCGCACGGGUGCGUAACGCGUAGGUAAUCUGCCCUGAGGUCUGACAUAACCCGUCGAAAGGCGGGCUAACAUCAGAUGAUAUAUAGUCACGACAUCGUGGAAAUAUCAAAUCUUCGGAGCCUUGGGAUGAGCCUGCGUCUGAUUAGGUAGUUGGCGGAGUAAUAGCCCACCAAGCCUACGAUCAGUAGCUGGUCUGAGAGGAUGAUCAGCCACACUGGAACUGAGACACGGUCCAGACUCCUACGGGAGGCAGCAGUAAGGAAUAUUGCUCAAUGGGGGGAAACCCUGAAGCAGCAACGCCGCGUGAAGGAUGAAAUACUUUGUAUGUAAACUUCUGUAAGAUGGGAAAAAUAUUCUCCUCGGGAGAAUUGAUUGUACCAUCAGAGUAAGCCCCGGCUAACUACGUG